RNAcentral lists this long non-coding RNA (447 nucleotides) under Mus caroli (Ryukyu mouse). RNAcentral's name for it is "lncRNA (MGP_CAROLIEiJ_G0005617.1)". Lineage: Eukaryota; Metazoa; Chordata; Mammalia; Rodentia; Muridae. The record is from RNAcentral.
UGACAUCUGCUCCCUGAGAGGUGCAGUGGGAAGUCCUGCACUGUGAGUCCAUUGAGUAGGACACACCCAGGCCUCUUCUUUUCUCCAGGAUAUGUGCAAGAUGAGAGCUAGCCAUCAGUCUCCUGAUGGUGGAGAUUUGAUCUGAAGCAUUCAAAUAGGAAAUGAAUGCUCAGAGGAAGCUUCAAAUUUCUUUCUACUUGAAGAAGCUGAAUUGCAGAAGCUAUCUCUGUCCUGUUAAUCACCGGGUCCACAGUGAAACCAGCCAACUUCAGAGAAGACUCUUGUGCUGCGCGACCCCUGACUGUAACCAAGCGUCAUUCUCUCUGAGACGUUCCCUCAGAGCUUGUUCUGACAGCCCUCACCUCCAGUGACGAGGUCCACUAACUUUUCCACACGAGGGGUUCUCUGCUUCCCUCCAUCUGAGCUGCGCAAUUCCACCAGGCCUUU